Molecule: long non-coding RNA, 279 nt
Organism: Myiozetetes cayanensis
Lineage: Eukaryota; Metazoa; Chordata; Aves; Passeriformes; Tyrannidae
Exons: 3
Source: RefSeq, a predicted model, not a curated record
GCGCUGCCGUACGGGCGCAGCCAACCAGCAAGCGGCAUUCUCCUUACGCGGAUUGAGGGCGCGGCCAUUUUGGGGUGGGAAUUUUGGAGCUGGCUACUCACACCUUGGCGUUGCCACCGAGGCAGUUCUGGAGCAGGAAGGGCGGUGAUGACGAGCCCCAGGGCGCUGAGGCUGGAAUUGAUGGAUUGGGUUUCCCGGAGCCGAUCCCCGACUGAUCCCGACUUUUCCAGCCGCUCCGAGCCCGCCAGGUCCACCAGGGUCAGGGUGGCUGGGAAUGGG